This 854-nucleotide long non-coding RNA is filed under the name Equus asinus (donkey). RNAcentral's name for it is "lncRNA (ENSEASG00005037617.1)". Lineage: Eukaryota; Metazoa; Chordata; Mammalia; Perissodactyla; Equidae. The record is from RNAcentral.
GAGCCUUCCUUGGGGAUGUGGAAGUGGAAUAAGAGAUUCCAGUUGGUCUAGCUCUUCUGUCUUUAAGUGAGGAGAUGCAAACCUGGGAGUUGCUGAUGGUGGUUAUUCUGCUAUGUGGGCUGGAAAAUAGAGACAGGUGGUCUGAACCAAGAGGAAAGAAGACAACAUUCAUUGAAUACCUCUUAACUGAUAAAACUGACAGUCUCAGUCCUGGCUUCAGAUUUGAAUCACCUGGGAAGAUUUAAAAGCACUACCCUGGAGCAACGAAAUCAGACUUUCUGGGGACGGAGCCCAGACGUCAGUAUUUUCAAGAGUUCCCCAGGAGACUGCAAUGAACAGCCCUGGUCAACACCAAACAAAUGAAGAAUUGAUGCAUUCUUUGGAUACUCAAGAAAAAAAGAGAAAUGAUGGUGGACAAACACCUUCUGGAAGAGUGGAAUAGGAAGGCAGCACUUUCCACACUUGCAGAUAGCUCUGCAUUAGAGUAUCACCUAUUCGUGAGAAAUCUAAGGAUGACAAAAAUGAACCAGAAAGGCUUUCUUUGAAAGAAAAACUACCUCAGUAUCAUUAAAAAAAAAAAAUCCUGGGGAGGGGGAGGAAUUCUUUAGUUCCUAAAGGAAAAAUGUUAAAAAAUAUCUUCUCAAAGUCAUCAAUGAAGAGACGGCAUUAUUUGAAGAUAGGAGAGUCAGAAAGAAAAUAUGCUAGUUUUAUAUGCCUUCCUGACGUUCACAGACCAGAGUUUCCAGGGGCUGGAUAAUUCUGCAAAAGUACUCUGGAGUUUCAACAAUGACAUGAUUGUCAUUUUUGUUUUUUAAGAUCACAGUUUUUUUAAACAGAUCAAAAAUUAUUUCAUA